UCUGCGGGUUCACAAAAACGAGCGGGGUAAGUGUAACUCACUUUGUAACCAAGUAGACGGUACUUGAUCAUCUGCGUGUCGUUCCGUCUUUCUACUUUCAAUUGGCAAUCAAACAUCCCAAAGUGUAAAGUGACAGAUUAUUGAGUUGCUUGCUUUUUUUUUUUAAUCCAACACAAACAUGGGAGGAACACCUGAUUUUCCUAAUGUCAUGGUGCCCUCAAAUGCUUAGCGGCUGUGAUCUGCUCAACAGGUAGGAGCUCUUAAUCUUGAAAUAAUUAGUGUGGAGGAGAGAAAAGGAAAUAAAGAGGCAAAGCAGAACAUGAAACAGACAAGCCAUGGUUUGAGUUAGUGGUUCAAGAAAAGUCCCAAAUCAAAUUGAUAGCCAAGUGGACAAAGAAGGAUGCAAGUCCCUCUGUGGACAAACUUCAAGAAUACCACUGACUAGUUAUGAACAUUCUCAUGUUAUGAUGCUCAUAUGUUUAAAUGUCAUGUUAGCCUGGCGAUUCGCUUAGUCGUUAGUUUUGCCACAUUUUAGGGUGUCCAAGUGUGAUUUUUUUUUUAACACCAUUCAGGACAUGACCCUAGCAAUUAGCUCAACAUGCUAAUGAUAACGUAAAAUGCAAUUCGUCAACCUCAAGUAACGUGUUCUAUAAAUGUGUUGACAUGGAGCCAAACUAGCAACCUUAGCCGAGCUUAGCAUAUCUUAAAGUGUGCUUGAGCAAUGUGGUCAUUUUGUUGGGAGGGAAUAAAGGCCUACUUCUUAGCUCGAGGAGAAAACAAAUUCAUAUGUUAUAAUGUGAUACAGUUAAUGUUUGAUGUAAUAAAUUUAAUCUGAUAAUUUGAAAAAUUAUCAGGCUCAAAUGGGAUCAGUUUUAUUUCUGUUUGGCAAAAAAAAAAAAAAAACAAUUCCUUCCAGUUCAGCUCACUAGUCCACCCCGUUUAUGGGUAUGUUUGUCUUUUAAAUAUUAAAUGAAUAAAAUUAAUUUUAAAAAACAAUUUAACAGUUUAUAGUUGGCGUAGCUAGUGACUUUGAUAAGACACAAAAAGGUCCGCCUGUGAGCUGAACCAGAAGGAGCUGCUUUGGUUUAUUAGCGGUAAAAAUAAUGGAUGAUGGAAGUCAAACUUGUCCCGUUUUCACACAUUAAAACGGUGUAAGCUUCCGCAAUUUCACGCAUUGAUGGCAUGACUGUUGGCUUUCGAAGUUUUCAAGCUGGUUUCAAGACCUCAAUCCAAAGACGCUAUAUGGAGGAAGAGAACCUGCCGUACUUCCAAGAGGUGCUGACACUCCUCGAUGAUCUUGUCCUCGCACGCCUUCUUUCCCAUCCCAAAGUCUCUCAGGUUGGUCAAAGUGAAGCGUCGCAUCUCCUUCCACGACUCUCCGUUGUUCCACAGGACACCUCGGCGUGCUGGAUCAGGGCCUCUUUCACUGUCUUAUAUCCGGCCAGAACCACCACUUUAUUGGGGCCCAUGUAGAAGGUGAACACCGGACCGUACUUCUUGGACAUCUUGGACCAAAGAGGUUGAGCUGGAGCAGGUUCCCGAGCAGCGGCAGCGGCCUGGGACCUGGGGGCUCCUGUCCCCCGGACUCCGUCGACCUGGAGGCCGACGACCAGGCCAUGUAGCCGACGAGCAGCGCCAGCGCGGAAGCGAGCACGUAGCUGGAGCUCAGCGGCAAGAAGUCGACCGAAACGUCCAUGUUUACGAGGCUGAAAAGAACGACCCCGAGCUUCCCUGUGGGUGCGUGACGGCUCGGUGAAACUGUGACGCUCACAUGCAGUCCAGCGCUCUGAGCUUGUGCGCUGUCGGACUGAUCGUGAAGCCAACGCGGGGAGUCAAGUCCAGGCUGUCCUCGGACACCCCCGGGGAAGGUUGGAAGCGGAAAUGCUGAAGCAGUGUGACGAAGAAGAUGAAGAGCUCCAUGCGGGCCAGGCUCUCUCCCAGGCAAGCCCUGCGACCUGCAAGCACAAUCAGUAAAUAGCGCGGCCGUGAGCAAAAUGUUUCCAUCAUGUGUCAUUUCCCUACCUGCAGAGAAAGGCAUAAAGGCGUCGUUCUUGACAAGCUUCCCAUCCUUAUCUAGAAAGUGGUCGGGGUGGAAGGAAUACGGCUUUUCCCAUUCGCUCUCGUCAUGGAGGACGGACGUCAGGAGGACGUAGACGGUAGUGUUCUGCGCAACAGUAAUCUCGAGAGACAGUUCCAGUCCUGAGAAAAGGUUUUAGUGUACCAGUCUUACCUUCUUGAUAAAGUAUCCUCGGAAGGUGACAUCCUGGCUGGUCCGGUGAGGGAGGGCUAUGGGUGCGAUGUUGGCCAGCCUCUGCGUCUCGUGUAUGACGGCAUCGGUGAAGGGCAGGUUCUUGCGGUCCUCCGUCCGGACUUGACGAUCUCCGAUCACCCUGGACACCUCCUCAUGGACCUUGUCUUUGUGGGUGAGCCAGGCCUUUAGGUUAUGAUGCAGAAGACUUGAGGUCUUUUUUUUCUGGUCUUACCUUGGAUUUCAGGAUACUUGGCCAUGAGAAGCAAGGACCACCUGAGCGUAGCAGCCGUGGUGUCGGUGCCGGCGGCAAAGAGGUUCUGAACUGUCCAUAUCAGGUUUUCGUCAUGGAAGUGACUGUUGGUGAUCCCGCUCUCCUGAACGCACCAAUAGACCAGCCAUUAAGCAAAAGACGUUUAAGAAGUUGCCAAAAGGCACCUGAAGAACUUUCAGACCACUAGAUACCAAAUUCUUGGGUCUGACGAGACAAUCGUUGAAGUCUUUGGUGUGAAUUCGAGUCACCACGUGAUCACCUUUUCCAGAUUAAUCUGGACUGAGGGGAAAAUGAAUGCUGUCAUUUUCAGAAGCAUACUCGAUGAAAACCUGUUCCGGUGCAUUCUUCACCUCAGACUGGCCUAAACGUUUAUCUUUUUCGCAGUUUUAUCAGCCCUACGCACACAGCUAGAUAGGAAAGGAGUGGCUUCAGGAUAACACUGAAUGACCGGUAUAUGACUCCAAUCUGAUUGAAUAUCUUUUCCUUUGACCUGCACAACAUUUGGGGGAUUUACCUUGUACAAUACAGUUUAUUUUCCGGAUUAUAAAGUGCACCUAAAACGAUUCCAUUUUCUCAAAAGCCGACAGUGUGCCUUAUAAUUCGGGGUGCCUUCUGUAUGGAUCAAUAUUCCGAUUUCUUGGACGUAGUAUUUUUAAAUGUUAUAGCUGCAGCAGUUGUGACAUCUUGAUAUAAAUAAAGCUGUAUUGUGUUGUA
Hippocampus zosterae (dwarf seahorse) is the source of this 3236-nucleotide long non-coding RNA. RefSeq lists it as uncharacterized. The record is from RefSeq and is a predicted model, not a curated record. Lineage: Eukaryota; Metazoa; Chordata; Actinopteri; Syngnathiformes; Syngnathidae. The transcript has 5 exons.